AGCGUCCUACGGGAGGCAGCAGUGGGGAAUAUUGCGCAAUGGGCGAAAGCCUGACGCAGCGACGCCGCGUGAGGGAUGAAGGUCUUCGGAUCGUAAACCUCUGUCAGCAGGGAAGAACGGUCACUGUGCAAAUCAGCAGUGAAUUGACGGUACCUGCAAAGGAAGCACCGGCUAACUCCGUGCCAGCAGCCGCGGUAAUACGGAGGGUGCGAGCGUUAAUCGGAAUUACUGGGCGAAAAGCGAUCGUAGGGGGUAUGUCAAGUCAAGGGUGAAAUCCCCGCGCUCAACGUGGGAACUGUCUUUGA
Molecule: ribosomal RNA, 305 nt
Filed under: uncultured bacterium
Lineage: Bacteria
Description: bacterial SSU rRNA
Rfam family: Bacterial small subunit ribosomal RNA
Source: RNAcentral